This 253-nucleotide ribosomal RNA is filed under the name uncultured bacterium. Its description in RNAcentral is "partial 16S ribosomal RNA". It matches the Rfam family "Bacterial small subunit ribosomal RNA", at positions 524 to 776 of the family's 1533-position model. The record is from RNAcentral.
UACGUAGGGGGCAAGCGUUGUCCGGAUUUAUUGGGCGUAAAGAGCGUGUAGGCGGCCAGACAGGGCAGAUGUGAAAACUCGAGGCUCAACCUCGAGACGUCGGUUGAAACCGUCUGGCUAGAGUCCGGAAGAGGAGAGUGGAAUUCCCGGUGUAGCGGUGAAAUGCGCAGAUAUCGGGAAGAACACCCGUGGCUAAGGCGGCUCUCUAGUACGGUACUGACGCUGAGACGCGAAAGCGUGGGGAGCGAACAGG